AGAGUUUGAUCCUGGCUCAGAUGAACGCUGGCGGCGUGCUUAACACAUGCAAGUCGAGCGAAGCACUUAUGUUUGAUUCUUCAGAUGAAGACUUUUGUGACUGAUCGGCGGACGGGUGAGUAACGCGUGGGUAACCUGCCUCAUACUGGGGGAUAACAGUUAGAAAUGGCUGCUAAUACCGCAUAAGACCACAGUACUGCAUGGAACAGUGGUAAAAACUCCUGUGGUAUGAGAUGGACCCGCGUCUGAUUAGGUAGUUGGUGAGGUAACGGCCCACCGAGCCGACAAUCAGGAACCGACCUGAGAGGGUGACCGGCCACGUUGGGACUGAUACACGGCCCAGACUCCUACGGGAGGCAGCGGUGGGGAAUAUUGCCCAAUGGGCGAAAGCCUGAUGCGUCGACACCGCGUGAAGGAUGAAAUAUUUCGGUAUGUAAACUUCUAUCAACACGUAACAAAAUGACCGUACCUGACUAAGAAGCCCCGGCUAACUACGUGCC
This 500-nucleotide ribosomal RNA is filed under the name uncultured bacterium. RNAcentral describes it as "bacterial SSU rRNA". It matches the Rfam family "Bacterial small subunit ribosomal RNA", at positions 8 to 509 of the family's 1533-position model. The record is from RNAcentral.